CAGUAGCCACGGUAAUACGUAGGGUGCAAGCGUUAAUCGGAAUUACUGGGCGUAAAGCGUGCGCAGGCGGUUAUAUAAGUCAGAUGUGAAAUCCCCGGGCUCAACCUGGGAACUGCAUUUGAGACUGGCAAGCUAGAGUCUUGUAGAGGGGGGUAGAAUUCCAGGUGUAGCGGUGAAAUGCGUAGAGAUCUGGAGGAAUACCGGUGGCGAAGGCGGCCCCCUGGACAAAGACUGACGCUCAGGUGCGAAAGCGUGGGGAGCAAACAGGAUUAGAUACCCCUGUAGUCCCUGUCUCUUAUAA
RNAcentral lists this ribosomal RNA (301 nucleotides) under uncultured bacterium. RNAcentral's name for it is "partial 16S ribosomal RNA". It matches the Rfam family "Bacterial small subunit ribosomal RNA", at positions 509 to 809 of the family's 1533-position model. The record is from RNAcentral.